RNAcentral lists this ribosomal RNA (206 nucleotides) under uncultured bacterium. RNAcentral's name for it is "partial 16S ribosomal RNA". It matches the Rfam family "Bacterial small subunit ribosomal RNA", at positions 568 to 774 of the family's 1533-position model. The record is from RNAcentral.
UGCGUAGGUGGUUUCUUAAGUCAGAGGUGAAAGGCUACGGCUCAACCGUAGUAAGCCUUUGAAACUGGGAAACUUGAGUGCAGGAGAGGAGAGUGGAAUUCCUAGUGUAGCGGUGAAAUGCGUAGAUAUUAGGAGGAACACCAGUUGCGAAGGCGGCUCUCUGGACUGUAACUGACACUGAGGCACGAAAGCGUGGGGAGCAGACA